CGCGGCCUCGGUGAAGGGCGGAGAAAAAGAACUGUCAACCGUUCACUACACGGAGCGAUUUCAUGUUACGUCACCAGGCUAUCUGAUGAAAUAUUUCCACUCACACCCUCUUCACGGAAUGCAGUCCAGCACCAGUUUCUUCCUGUCAGCCAGCCGAGUCCGAUCAAGACGGACAUGUACCGUAUCCUUCACCUCGUUAUCCAUCAUCGUAUCCAUCAUCUCCAGCGCUUAUUGUGACUUAGUCACUAACGUAAUAAAACAGCCGUUUUUUAUUA
Lepisosteus oculatus (spotted gar) is the source of this 275-nucleotide long non-coding RNA. RefSeq lists it as uncharacterized. Lineage: Eukaryota; Metazoa; Chordata; Actinopteri; Semionotiformes; Lepisosteidae. The record is from RefSeq and is a predicted model, not a curated record.